This 440-nucleotide ribosomal RNA is filed under the name uncultured bacterium. Its description in RNAcentral is "partial 16S ribosomal RNA". It matches the Rfam family "Bacterial small subunit ribosomal RNA", at positions 338 to 795 of the family's 1533-position model. The record is from RNAcentral.
CCUACGGGAGGCUGCAGUAGGGAAUAUUGCUCAAUGGGGGAAACCCUGAAGCAGCAACGCCGCGUGGAGGAUGAAGGUUUUCGGAUUGUAAACUCCUUUUGUUAGAGAAGAUAAUGACGGUAUCUAACGAAUAAGCACCGGCUAACCCCGUGCCAGCAGCAGCGGUAACACGGAGGGUGCAAGCGUUACUAGGAAUCACUGGGCGUAAAGGGCGAGUAGGCGGGAUAGCAAGUCAGAUGUGAAGUCCUAUGGGUUAACCAUAGAACUGCAUUUGAAACUGUUAUUCUAGAGUAUGGGAGAGGUAGGUGGAAUUCUUGGUGUAGGGGUAAAAUCCGUAGAGAUCAAGAGGAAUACUGAUUGCGAAGGCGACCUGCUAGAACAUAACUGACGCUGAUGCGCGAAAGCGUGGGGAGCAAACAGGAUUAGAUACCCGUGUAGUC